Molecule: long non-coding RNA, 1830 nt
Organism: Mobula hypostoma (lesser devil ray)
Lineage: Eukaryota; Metazoa; Chordata; Chondrichthyes; Myliobatiformes; Myliobatidae
Exons: 3
Source: RefSeq, a predicted model, not a curated record
CAGUUGCUCUCCUUGCCCAGCCUUGGCGAUGCUAAGCCAUCAGAGCUAAUGGAGCACAUGGUGUCUCUCCUGGGAAAUCACCAUUCAUGUUUUAUUUUUAAAGAACUCUUCAUGCAGCAAAUUCCUGAUUAAGUUCGCAUAACCCUCACUAAUGCACCCAUGAUGGACUAUAGGGACUAUAUACAACACAGACUGGACUCUCCUGGCCCUUUGAGCAGAGCCUCUCCAGCAACAGCUGACCACCCUGAAGCCUGGCAGUCAUGAUGAAGGGUCUUGACCUGAAGCGUUGAGUGUGGAUUCAUUUCCAUAGAUGCUGCCUGACUGGCUGAGUUCCUCCAGAGGACAGAACGAAACAGUGCAUCCCAAAUAAAAAAAUAAAACAAGGGAUCCUUUGAAGUUCCUGACCUGGAGUUACAUGCUGACUUCGGUUCUUUGCGGGAAUGGGACCCGCUCUCGGGGUCUCACGAUCAGCCGCUAUUCGAUAUACCAAGGAAUCAGCCUAGAAGACCAGUGCGCCUUCAGGUUUCUGGGAUUUCGCGGCUCUGGAGGUAGACAGACUCGAGGUCAGUGCCUCCACAGGAAACUAGUGUGUCAUCUGAAUACACAGAAGAUCGAAAGCAGCUAGCUGGCUGCGUGCCUAGAGACCCUGUCACGGUCCGGUCCAUUGACUCUUCAUAUCAGUUAAUUUCCUUUUCCCCUUGUUCUAUGGUGCUCCUUGAUGAGGGCACCUGAUCCUCAUCCAAACCAGCAGCAGAAAGACUCCGGCUUAAAUCUACUCAGUGCUGGUCCCUCUCCUGAGCUGUGCAACGAUGCAUGUUCCUGGCUGCCGAGAAUAGUGGACUUUCUCCUGAGCCAGUGCGGCAAUGCACGUUCCAGGCCACUGAGAAUCGUGUACUCUAAGUUGCUUCGGUGCCUGGGAUUGCUUUGGGAACUCUGUCGUUUUCGUGUCCGGCUGAGGAUUGCUGACCGUUUGCCGCUACUCCGAGUCGGGAAUACUGUCUGCUCAUGUCCAGCUGGGGAUUGCUGGCUUUUUGCCGCUCCUCUGAGCCAAGAUACGAAUUGUCUGUCAUUGUUGGGUUUUGCUGUCUCGUGUCCAGUUGAAGAUUACUGACCAUUUGCCGCUACUCUGAGCUAAGAUACAAAUGGUCUGUCUUUGUUUGGGUUUGUCAUCCUGUGUCCAAGUUCGAGUCCCAGCUCCACAUCCAAGUUCGAGUCCUGGCUCCACAUCCAAGUUCGAGUCCCGGCUCCGCAUCCGAGUCCAAGUCCAAGUCCAGGUUCUGCGUUCGAGGCCAAGUCCAAGUCCAGGUGCCAUGUCCGAGUCCAAAUCCAAGUAUAGGCUCUGUGUCCGAGUCCAAAUCCAAGUCCAGGUUCCGUGUCUAAGUCCAAGUCCAGGCUCCGUGGCCAAGUCCAAGUCCAGGUUCCUGUGGUUUGUUGUCCAAUGUUUAUGUCUAUGUAAGCAUCUAAUCCUCACUCUCUGGCCUCCCUGGCAACUAUUAAUAAGCACACUUCUGUUAAUGCUACCCCCGUGUCUGUGUCCUGCACUUGAAUUCGCCCCCAACGCCCCAUUGUAACAGACCCAAGUUCAAUGGGCACAGAGCUUGGAAAAAGGGAUGCAACAGACCUUUAACAUUGUAAAUCAGUGAGUUGUUUUUUAUAUCUCCCCUCUGGCUAUGAAAUGGGGACAUCUCUUUUUUUCUUACUAGGGAGAGCGAGAGCCUGUGGUAUGUCGAAUUACCAGGUGAAUGAGUAGUCUUUGGGGUACUGCAAAUCUGUGUCUUUAUUGACGCUUUGCUGCACGCUUCAGUGCUGGGUGCGGGGGGGCCUGAUGCU